CACACCGCCCGUCACACCAUGGGAGUUGGUCUUACCCGACGGCGCUGCGCCAACCGCAAGGAGGCAGGCGACCACGGCAGGGUCAGCGACUGGGGUG
RNAcentral lists this ribosomal RNA (97 nucleotides) under uncultured bacterium. RNAcentral describes it as "partial 16S ribosomal RNA". It matches the Rfam family "Bacterial small subunit ribosomal RNA", at positions 1386 to 1482 of the family's 1533-position model. The record is from RNAcentral.